RNAcentral lists this long non-coding RNA (3478 nucleotides) under Sus scrofa (pig). Its description in RNAcentral is "lncRNA (ENSSSCG00000054536.1)". Lineage: Eukaryota; Metazoa; Chordata; Mammalia; Artiodactyla; Suidae. The record is from RNAcentral.
UUACUAUACAGUUUUCCAUCAAUGUGAUUUAUUUUACUGCCUUAAAGGUUACCUUGAUUUCCUAGGAGUGUGAAUACCAUGGUAUAACAAAGAAGUAAUUAUUCAAUUAUGAUUUCUGAAUUAUAUUACUGAAAAGAUAAGGUUGAAUGAAAGACUCUUUUAAAGAUAAAAGUAUUUUCUCUGUUAAGAGUUGGGUUUAUAUGUCAACACUGAGCCUAGAAACAAUAAGGUUCAUUCUGUGAAGCCUUAUAAGAAGAAAUGCAGAGUAUAGUGUAAGGGAAGUGUACUACAUAAAGACUAACUGGAGGGACUUUUUUCUUUACUAUUACUGCAAAUAAUUAUAGCAGCCAAUGGAUGGGCCAAAAAGGAAUUUGACAUUCCAUCGCUAAUCUUCCCUACAUAAAAACACUAUCUGAAGUGUUUCAGAUUAUUCCAGUUCAGGAUUUGUUGUUAAACUUUACUUGGAUCAUAUUACACUGGUUUUAUUAAGUCACAUUGGCAGAAUCUCUGAGUAGUUCCAGUGUUAUUGUUAUCUAAGAUUACUUUUUUUUUUUUUCUGUCUUUUUUCUUUUUAGAGCUGCACCCGUGGCAUACAGAGGUUUCCAGGCCAGGGGUUGAAUAGGAGCUGUAGCUGCCAGCCAAUGCUGCAGCCACAGCAACUUGAGAUCCAAGCCACGUCUGUGAUCUACACCACAGCUCAAGGCAAUGCUGGAUCCCUAACCCACUGAGCAAAGCCAGGAACUGAACCUGCAUCCUCAUGGAUACUAGUCGGGUUCGUUAACCACAAGGGGAACUCCUAUCCAAGACUAGUUGGGCCCAAGAGAGUAGCUGCUACAAACUCAUGUAAAACCAAGAUGACACAAGGGCCAGGCUGGCUAUACUAUUUCCAUUUGAUUAGAAAGGCUUGCUGGGCCCUUUCUUUACUAGUCAUUGAGACUAAUAUGAAUCAACCUAAAAUGGGAUGCCAGUAAGACCAGGAGACUCAAAAUACUUGAGUUUCAGAAACUCAGCUUCAGCAAGAGAAAGCUUCCCACCCCUCUAUUCCUUAUAGAAGCAACUUAUAAUUGGCAGGCAAGUGGUACCCUCAUACUCAGAAAUUGCCUCUACUUGUGCAACCAUUGUCAUCUAAAUGAUCACUGAAGCUAUGAUUUCCCAUUUCUUCCUGGAUUCUAUAUUGUUUCACUAGACCACACACAAAAGAAGCUGGGCAUCACUUCUCCACAUCAGGCAGUCACUCUACCCUUUUUGAGCAUUUACAAUACAAGGAUAUUAUGAAACAUCACUUACAAUCAUACAUGCAACAUUAGAAGCUACAACAACAACAGCAUAAUUAAUAGUUUCAAAGGCUUCAUUCAGGACAUUGCUUUAACUUUUCUUCUCUACUGCAAUUUACCCAAAAUCUAUCAGUUGAAUCCAAGUGUAUUUUUCCUUCUCCAGGACCCAAAUCAAGGGGUUUAUCACACAUUUGUGGGAGGCUAUAGACACAGACACUAGUUGAUUAUGCUGUUCUUCUGAAACAUGGGGAAUGCAGGGUUGGUGAGGCCAUUCUAAGGGGAACUGAGGUGUGAAAGGAGACCUGUGGGGAAUUUUCACCUUGGUCCCUAGCUCCAGGGUAGGCAUUUUCUCCUUUCAUGCACCUCCAGGCUCUAGCAAACAUUCAAGUCCAGGGACCCUUUUCUGCAUACCCACUUCCCAAUGCUAUGGUCUUGCCUACAGUUCUUGGUGCUUUGGCCGCCCAGGAACUUAGCACCCACUCCAUGAUGGAAGCAGGUAGAGUGUGACCUGGGUGUCUGUAUUCAACAGACCUAUGUACAACUUUGAGUUCUUCUCCUCCACCAAGUACCUCAGCAUACCCAUCCCUUCUCCGAAAUCAGGUGAGAUCAGGAUAAAUGGGAGAAGAAGAGGGUAAGGGUAUGUGGAAGGGGAAAGCAGCUUCAACUCCAGUUAAUAAUUCUGUGCAUUAUUUUCAGUUUUAAGGGGCUUUGGUCUUUUGUUUUCUCUGGCUCAAGAAUCUUCAAUAUUUUCCACAGAUUUAAAGUCCUAUAUCCUUGUUACUGACAUAAUUUAUUUUAAGCUAUAGGGUCCUUUACUGCACUCUUGUCAUCAUAACGUCCUCUCUCUUCCUCCUAGCACUUGGAGGUUUUGGCGACUUGUUUCAAUCCUACUUCUUGCUGCUCACAUUCAUUCACAGCAGGACAGUGGCCAGGGGUGGGGGUGAAGAUCCUUACUCUUUUAUCUUAUCCACCUUUUGGCAAAAGCAUAUAUUAACUAUAAAUGUAAUAAAUGAUCUUAUGAAGCCUUCCUACAGCCCUAAACCAGUUCACCCAGGCCCUCUCUUUCUUCUUCCAGAAAGUUGUAUUUGUGUCAGUAUCUCCUCCCUGUCAGAAUCGUCAGAUUUUAAGGUCUCAUCCUACCUAAAAGCUAACAAGUUAGCCUGUUACUGUUUCAUGCAUGCUGGCAGAAGACACAAGACCAGGAUCAAAGACAAAAGACUAUUAGGUAUAAUACAGCCAACAGCAUAAGCACCUUAUUUGCAUAGGUUCCUUUUGAAUGGCCCAGGAAGAUAGUAUGCAUUCAGUGACUUUCACUGCAGCUGAGGAACACCGAGCUUAAGAAAUUCACUGUUCUUUCAGAAAGCAGUAGACAAGCUUGAUCUCUGUCUGGGGACAUAGGUUACCUUAUUAGUCAAGAUUGCUGGCUGCAAAUCGAACCCUGAGAAAGGCACGGAUAAAGAGUGUUCAAAGCCUUAAUUCUUGCAUACCUGGCAAGAAGUGGAGGGAGUUCAGGGCCUAUGGUAUGUUGAUUUUUACAACAGAGAGAAGAAAGUAAAGGAAAUAUUAUGGUUGUUGAUAUGUGAAUACCAAGGUUAAAAGGCCUCGAAAGCAAUAGAAGAUACUACAGAUGAAAAUAUCAAUAUUUUGAGUAAACAUUUAAUGUUUUUUUGUGUCCAAACCACUGAAGUGAUUUGAAUAUAAAUGCAAAUAUAUGAGAUAAAGAUUUUGAUAACUUUAAUCUAUUUGGAACUAAUUCAAAUUGGUAUGAUAAGCCCCAACAUCACAAUAGAUAACUGGGUAAAGGAUAAAUGGGUAUUUUUAAAAAAGAACUGCAGUGUCUAGAAAUGCUGGAAAGUAUUUCGUUGUUAAUCUCAAGCAUACGAUGUUUAUCAAGUUAUUAUUUUUAAAGAAAAAUGUCCAAUAUUGCACAGGGUUCUGAGAAAAUAUUUUCAUACAGUUUCUUUGAGUAAAACUAUUUUGGAACAUGUCAAUGUUUAUCAAAAGUCUUAAAAUGAUUAUGUUUCUUAGUAAAGGAAUUCAUAUUAGGGAAUCUAGUCUAAUGCCUUAUUAAAGAAUAAGCAUUAAAUGUACUAUAUGGGUUUUUUGGUACACUCUCAAACUCUAUUUGGAAAGUAGCAAACAAUAAAGAAAUAUGUGGCUCCUAUAGAAAUGUGAAAAUCACAUAAAACUUAUGUUUUGUUAUC